Molecule: transfer RNA, 65 nt
Filed under: Dybowskyia reticulata
Lineage: Eukaryota; Metazoa; Arthropoda; Insecta; Hemiptera; Pentatomidae
Description: tRNA-His
Source: RNAcentral
AUUAGGAUAGUUUAAUUUAGAAUGAUAACUUGUGGCGUUAUAGGUGAGUUAAUACUCUCUUUAUC